RNAcentral lists this long non-coding RNA (1589 nucleotides) under Manduca sexta (tobacco hornworm). RNAcentral's name for it is "uncharacterized LOC119190125". Lineage: Eukaryota; Metazoa; Arthropoda; Insecta; Lepidoptera; Sphingidae. The record is from RNAcentral.
CCGCCGUGCCGCAAGCCGACCUGCGCUGCGCUCACUGCGAGGCCGACUUGCCCUUCUGUCUCGCCACGGGACUUCAUAUCGUGAAAGAUGAUUUGACAGCCUGUCCCGAGUGUGAUUUCCUGCGAUUCUUACCGAGUUCACCGAAAUACUGAAAGAGGAAGGCAAAUGUCCCAUGUGCGGCGAAAAUGUCGACUACAGACGUCUAGUAAAGAUCGACGACGUGACGCUGUAUCUCGACCUUAAUACCAGUGAAUAAAGUUGUAUAUUGCGUGUAAUUUACUACCGAGAGUUAAGUAAGUUUUAGAAUAAGUGACGACAUUUAGUAAUGGUUUGUUAUUUCUUCAAUUUCAAGCAAGUUGUUGAAGACGUAAUUUUUCUAGUUUCGGGGCCAUGACAAUUGAUCAAUGUAAUACCUUUUUACGCACCCUUAGAACUAAGAUGAUUUAACCCAAAAAAGAUGAUGAAAAAUAUAAAAAAGAUUUGAAAACAAUGUAAAAGGCACUGAAUUGGGCGGUCGCGGUGAAUGUGAGGAUCUGUUUCUUUACUAUAAAUUUAUUUAUCUUUUUCGUCACAGGCUUACAGAGCUUGCUUUAGAAAGCUGUUUUUGAUCAAAAUCAGAAAAUAUAUAAAUUUUGAUUUAGGUCACUUUAGUUCUAAGGGUCCGAUAUGCAAAUGUUUAGUUCUAAGCGUUUUAAAAUAGGCUUAUGUCCGUCCAUUUAGUUUUAUUUAUAAAUGGUAAGCUAGAUUAGGUUAAUGACUAAUAUACAAAAUUCAAUUUUGAUCACAUCUAAAUCCAAUUAUAAGGAAGUUUUAAAAACUGCAUUCAGGUAGAGAAGACUAAGUUUUGCAAUUUUUUUAUUUUUUUUAAAAAAUAAAUCGUGUCGAUUUUAAAUUGUAUGCCAUUAUAGCGGGUCAUAGCUUUACUGUAAAUAUAAAAAAAAAAACAAUUUUUAUAUUUAUAGAAAACAUCCUUUGUCUCCUGCCCUUAACUGAUAAAGCAUUCCCUUGAAUGAUCAUAUGAUUAAACCCACUUAUGCAAAAUGUACCAACACACAAAUUAUCCAAAAUAUGUUAUUAAUAUUUAACACGCAAUUUAUCUAAUUGUGAUAAUUCAGCAAAGAUCUAUUUAUACGACACAGAAAGUAUGUGUGAAUCGAUCCAAACAUUUUUAAACAUAGAAGUAUUCAGUUGUAACAUAUCCACUAAUGUUUAAAAGUAGUCAGUACAUUUUGGCAUAAUUCGGUGUAAUUAAUAUUUAUUAUAAAUACCAAAAAUCGAUACCCCACCCAAGAAAAUGUACUUUUAGUUUGUGAUAAGGUCCGUCCAUUAGAUAAGGAAGUUAUUUUAUUGUCGCCCUAAUUUGUUAUCUGUAAGGUACAGUCGGCACCAUAAAUGUAAGUCCAUGUGUAAAAAAUGAAAUGGUAAAUUUUAUUUUUUUAAAAAUAAAUGUGUAAGUUUAUAGCUUUGUGUUAUUUAGUAAGUCAUUAUGUCAUGUGGAGAGGUAGUUCCUACUGGGUGAUAGUUGUUAUACGAGAGCCUUUCUGAUUUGGUACCACCGUAAUGUUUACAAGUAGUAUUGUUUAGGCAUA